Molecule: transfer RNA, 90 nt
Filed under: bacterium
Lineage: Bacteria
Also listed under: 1 other name
Rfam family: tRNA
About the family: Transfer RNA (tRNA) molecules are approximately 80 nucleotides in length. Their secondary structure includes four short double-helical elements and three loops (D, anti-codon, and T loops). Further hydrogen bonds mediate the characteristic L-shaped molecular structure. tRNAs have two regions of fundamental functional importance: the anti-codon, which is responsible for specific mRNA codon recognition, and the 3' end, to which the tRNAs corresponding amino acid is attached (by aminoacyl-tRNA synthetases). tRNAs cope with the degeneracy of the genetic code in two manners: having more than one tRNA (with a specific anti-codon) for a particular amino acid; and 'wobble' base-pairing, i.e. permitting non-standard base-pairing at the 3rd anti-codon position.
Source: Rfam by way of RNAcentral
GGAGAGAUACCCAAGUGGCUGAAGGGGCGGGUUUGCUAAACCUGUAGUCUGGCGCAAGCUGGAGCGAGGGUUCGAAUCCCUCUCUCUCCG